AUGAACGCUAGCUACAGGCUUAACACAUGCGAGUCGAGGGGAAACGGCGCGGCAGCUUGCUGCCGCGGCCGCCGACCGGCGAAUGGGUGAGUAACACGUAUCCAACCUGCCCCCAGGCAAGGGAUAAUCCAUAGAAAUGUGGCCUAAUACCUUAUGUGGUCAGACGAUGGCAUCAGACUUUGACUAAAGACUUGUCGCCUGGGGAUGGGGAUGCGCCUGAUUAGCUUGUUGGCGGGGCAACGGCCCACCAAGGCAACGAUCAGUAGGGGUUCUGAGAGGAAAGUCCCCCACAUUGGAACUGAGACACGGUCCAAACUCCUACGGGAGGCAGCAGUGAGGAAUAUUGGUCAAUGGCCGUAAGGCUGAACCAGCCAAGUAGCGUGCAGGAGGACGGCCCUAUGGGUUGUAAACUGCUUUUGUACGGGGACAAAGUGCGCGACGUGUCGCCCAUUGCGGGUACCGUACGAAUAACGACCGGCUAAUUCCGUGCCCGCAGCCGCGGAAAUACGGAAGGUCCGGGCGUUAUCCGGAUUUAUUGGGUUUAAAGGGAGCGCAGGCCGCCUGUCAAGCGUGUUGUGAAAUGUAGGGGCCCAACCCCUGAGUUGCAGCGCGAACUGGCGGGCUUGAGUACGCACAACGCUGGUGGAACUCGCCGUGUAGCGGUGAAAUGCUUAGAUAUCAGGAAGAACUCCGGAUUGCGAAGGCAGCCCGCGGCAGUGUUACUGACGUUCAUGCUGGAAGGUGCGGGGUAUCGAACAGGAUUAGAUACCCUGGGUAGUCCGCACGGUAAACGAUGGAUGCUCGCUGUCGGCGAUACAUUGUCGGCGGCCUAGUGAAAGCAUUAAGCAUCCCACCUGGGGAGUACGCCGGCAACGGUGAAACUCAAAGGAAUUGACGGGGGCCCGCACAAGCGGAGGAACAUGUGGUUUAAUUCGAUGAUACGCGAGGAACCUUACCCGGGCUUGAAUUGCAGGUUUUGGAUCAGAGAUGGUCUUUUCCCUUCGGGGUGCCUGUGAAGGUGCUGCAUGGUUGUCGUCAGCUCGUGCCGUGAGGUGUCGGCUUAAGUGCCAUAACGAGCGCAACCCCUUUCGUCAGUUGCCAUCAGGUGAUGCUGGGCACUCUGGCGACACUGCCACCGCAAGGUGUGAGGAAGGUGGGGAUGACGUCAAAUCAGCACGGCCCUUACGUCCGGGGCUACACAUGUGUUACAAUGGGGCAUACAGAGCGUCGGCUAGUCGCAAGACUGGUCUAAUCGUGAAACUGUCCCUCAGUUCGGAUUGGGGUCUGCAACCCGACCCCAUGAAGCUGGAUUCGCUAGUAAUCGCGCAUCAGCCAUGGCGCGGUGAAUACGUUCCCGGGCCUUGCACUCACCGCCCGUCA
This 1380-nucleotide ribosomal RNA is filed under the name uncultured bacterium. RNAcentral describes it as "16S ribosomal RNA". It matches the Rfam family "Bacterial small subunit ribosomal RNA", at positions 29 to 1399 of the family's 1533-position model. The record is from RNAcentral.